Molecule: ribosomal RNA, 488 nt
Filed under: uncultured Acidobacteriota bacterium
Lineage: Bacteria; Pseudomonadati; Acidobacteriota
Description: bacterial SSU rRNA
Rfam family: Bacterial small subunit ribosomal RNA
Source: RNAcentral
GCGGCGUGCUUAACACAUGCAAGUCGAGUGCGCGCCUGUAGCAAUACAGGUGGCGCACGGCGCACGGGUGCGUAACACGUGGGUAAUCUGCCCUUCGAUGGGGAAUAACUCGCCGAAAGGCGAGCUAAUUCCGCAUAACAUUCCAAGAACUUCGGUUUCUGGAUUCAAAGGCGUAAGUCGUCGGAGGAGGAGCCCGCGCACGAUUAGCUAGUUGGUGAGGUAAUGGCUCACCAAGGCUAUGAUCGUUAGCUGGUCUGAGAGGAUGGCCAGCCACACUGGAACUGAGACACGGUCCAGACUCCUACGGGAGGCAGCAGUGGGGAAUCUUGCACAAUGGGCGAAAGCCUGAUGCAGCGACGCCGCGUGGGGGAUGUAGCUUCUCGGAGUGUAAACCCCUUUCGACCCGGACGAAAACCUCGCAAGAGGAUUGACGGUACGGGUAUAAGAAGCCCCGGCUAACUACGUGCCAGCAGCCGCGGUAAGACGUA